CCGAGCUGAGCAAUGGUUAUCGUUCCUUCGGAACCAUACAUAGAAGAUUAGCAUGGCCCUUCCACAAGGAUAACACCCAUAAAUCGAUAAAUGGUCCAAAUUUGU
Molecule: non-coding RNA, 105 nt
Organism: Helianthus annuus (common sunflower)
Lineage: Eukaryota; Viridiplantae; Streptophyta; Magnoliopsida; Asterales; Asteraceae
Source: Rfam